This 1349-nucleotide ribosomal RNA is filed under the name uncultured soil bacterium. RNAcentral's name for it is "16S ribosomal RNA". It matches the Rfam family "Bacterial small subunit ribosomal RNA". The record is from RNAcentral.
GAUGAACGCUGGCGGCGUGCCUUAGGCAUGCAAGUCGAACGGGUUCCGUAGCAAUACGGAAUCAGUGGCAGACGGGUGAGUAACGCGUAGGAAUCUACCCCUCAAUGGAGCAUAGCCAUCCGAAAGGAUGGGUAAUACUCCGUGGUCUCGCAAGAGUAUAGACCUUAACUGGUCGUUGAGGGAGGAGCCUGCGUCCUAUCAGCUAGUUGGUGGGGUAAUUGCCUACCAAGGCUUUGACGGGUAGCUGGACUGAGAGGUCGAUCAGCCACAACUGCACUGAGACACGGGCAGUACACCUACGGGUGGCAGCAACCAGGAAUAUUUGGCAAUGGACAAAAGUCUGACCAAGCGACGCCGCGUGGAGGAAGAAGGCUCUAGGGUCGUAAACUCCUUUUGAUAGUCCCUUCACAGACUAUAGAAUAAGCCUCUACUAACUACGUGCCAGAAGUCUCGGUAAUACGUAGGAGGCAAGCGUUAUCCGGAUUCAUUGGGCGUAAAGUGUGCGUAGGCGCCUUAUCAAGUCAUACUUGAAAUACUAAGGCUCAACCUUAGGAUUGGGUAUGAUACUGACAAGGUUGAGGAUUGGCAGAGAUGCUGGAACAGCUAGUGUAGCAGUGAAAUGCGUUGAUAUUAGCUGGAACACCAAAGGCGAAAGCAGGCAUCCCGGCUUGUCCUGACGCUGAGGCACGAAAGCUAGGGGAGCGAAACAGAUUAGAUACCUGUGUAGUCCUAGCUGUAAACGAUGUCCGCUAGCUCUUAGCAUUUGCUAGGGGUGUAAGCUAACGCGUUAAGCGGACCGCCUGGGGAGUACGGCCGCAAGGCUAAAACUCAAAGGAAUUGACGGGGACCCGCACAACCGGUGGAGCGUGUGGUUCAAUUCGAGACGAAACGAAGAACCUCACCAGGGCUUGACAUGCUAUCGUACAUUUCCCUAGAAAUAGGGAGAAAUCCGCAAGGAUGAUAGCACAGGUGCUGCAUGGCUGUCGUCAGCUCGUGCCGUGAGGUGUUCCCUUAAGUGGGGAAACGAGCGCAACCCCUGUCUAAUGUUACAUAUUCAUUAGAGACUGCCCCAUUUUUUGGGGAGGAAGGAGGGGAAGACGUCAAGUCAGCACGGCCCUUAUGCCCUGGGCCACACACACACUACAAUGGCGAAGAACAACGAGCCGCAAGCCGGCAACGGCAGGCAAAUCUCUGAAAUUUCGCCUCAGUUCAGAUUGGAGGCUGCAACUCGCCUCCAUGAAGUCGGAAUCGGUAGUAAUCGCGGAUCAGCAAGCCGCGGUGAAUACGUUCUCGGGUCUUGUACACACCGCCCGUCAAGGCAGCAAAGUCGGUAGUUAUCGAAGACCGUG